AUUGAACGCUGGCGGCAGGCCUAACACAUGCAAGUCGAGCGGAUGAAGGGAGCUUGCUCCUGGAUUCAGCGGCGGACGGGUGGGUAAUGCCUAGGAAUCUGCCUGGUAGUGGGGGAUAACGUCCGGAAACGGGCGCUAAUACCGCAUACGUCCUGAGGGAGAAAGUGGGGGAUCUUCGGACCUCACGCUAUCAGAUGAGCCUAGGUCGGAUUAGCUAGUUGGUGGGGUAAAGGCCUACCAAGGCGACGAUCCGUAACUGGUUUGAGAGGAUGAUCAGUCACACUGGAACUGAGACACGGUCCAGACUCCUACGGGAGGCAGCAGUGGGGAAUAUUGGACAAUGGGCGAAAGCCUGAUCCAGCCAUGCCGCGUGUGUGAAGAAGGUCUUCGGAUUGUAAAGCACUUUAAGUUGGGAGGAAGGGCAGUAAGUUAAUACCUUGCUGUUUUGACGUUACCAACAGAAUAAGCACCGGCUAACUUCGUG
RNAcentral lists this ribosomal RNA (484 nucleotides) under uncultured bacterium. RNAcentral's name for it is "partial 16S ribosomal RNA". It matches the Rfam family "Bacterial small subunit ribosomal RNA", at positions 30 to 507 of the family's 1533-position model. The record is from RNAcentral.